GAUGAACGCUGACAGAAUGCUUAACACAUGCAAGUCUUUGGCGAAGCUGUGCUUGCACAGCCUAGCCAAGGCGGACGGGUGAGUAACGCGUAAGGAACUUGCCCUGCAGUCAGGGAUAACAGACGGAAACGACUGAUAAGACCUGGUAAAGUCAGGCGGACUCAUGUCCAGCCUGAUGAAAAGAGAUGCUGCAGGAGAGCCUUGCGUCCUAUUAGCUUGUUGGUGGGGUAACGGCCCACCAAGGCGAUGAUAGGUAGCCGGCCUGAGAGGGUGGACGGCCACAAGGGGACUGAGAUACGGCCCUUACUCCUACGGGAGGCAGCAGUGGGGAAUAUUGGACAAUGGGGGCAACCCUGAUCCAGCAAUUCUGUGUGCACGAUGAAGGUUUUCGGAUUGUAAAGUGCUUUCAGCAGGGAAGAAAAAAAUGACGGUACCUGUAGAAGAAGCGACGGCUAAAUACGUG
RNAcentral lists this ribosomal RNA (463 nucleotides) under uncultured bacterium. RNAcentral's name for it is "partial 16S ribosomal RNA". It matches the Rfam family "Bacterial small subunit ribosomal RNA", at positions 28 to 507 of the family's 1533-position model. The record is from RNAcentral.